CGAGGAGUCGAGAAGAUGUUGGUCUCAUCGUGGGACAGACGGCGGGACAGAGGGACCUGGGAAGAGGAACAGUUUGUUCUGGCCCUGGAAGAACAGGUGGCAGGACCAGGUGCCACUGUCCUGGAGCCUCAGCCUGGACACGUGAUGUAAGUCCCCGAGUCGUCCAUCCUGAGAUCCUUGAUGACCAGGGGGAAAGAUCCUUGGUCCCACAUGUUUUUUUUGGAUUCAACGCGACUGCUCAGCGGGGAGUUCCCUGGGAACAGAAGCCACGUGGAGGAGAUGGAGGCACCCUGGCAGGGGUGGAACCCAUGGGUGCUCUGACCUGAGCUGAUGAUUUCGUGCAGAACUGGGGAACCCCCGACUGGCCAGGAGAUCCCACGACGUCCACUUACCCGGCUGGGACGGUAGGUCACUCAUCCGGAAUGGUAAAAUCAUGGCCUUAUUUGGAGAGCACCAGUUUCUACAAGCCCAUCCCUGACACCCAUAGUCUCCAGUGACCUUCACAACAGUCCCCGGAAAUAGACGCCUGUUCUGCUCAUUUUGCUGAUAACGCUUCUUACACAUUAUUGGUAAGAAUGAACACCAAUAUAAUUUGUUUGGAAGGUAAUUUGUAGUAUCUAUCAGAAUUACAAAUGUGCUUACAAAGCUAAAUGUCCACAAAGGAUAGGUCACAUCAAUUAUAGUUCACCCACUGCGCGAUUGCUAGGCAGGUCUGGAACAGUAUCUCAGAAACACCCUUCACUGAAUAAAGCAAGAUAUGAAACAGGCUACUCUUCAUUGUAAAAGGAGUAGGAAACUACCCCCAUAAGCACA
Molecule: long non-coding RNA, 813 nt
Organism: Lepus europaeus (European hare)
Lineage: Eukaryota; Metazoa; Chordata; Mammalia; Lagomorpha; Leporidae
Exons: 3
Source: RefSeq, a predicted model, not a curated record